Molecule: small nuclear RNA, 107 nt
Filed under: Dasypus novemcinctus (nine-banded armadillo)
Lineage: Eukaryota; Metazoa; Chordata; Mammalia; Cingulata; Dasypodidae
Source: RNAcentral
GUGCUCACUUUGGCAGCACAUAUACUAAAAUUGGAACGAUAUAGAGAAGAUUAGCAUGGCCCCUGCACAAGGAUGACAUACAAAUUCGUGAAGUGUUCCAUUAAAAA